RNAcentral lists this ribosomal RNA (464 nucleotides) under uncultured bacterium. RNAcentral describes it as "partial 16S ribosomal RNA". It matches the Rfam family "Bacterial small subunit ribosomal RNA", at positions 28 to 507 of the family's 1533-position model. The record is from RNAcentral.
GACGAACGCUGGCGGCGUGCUUAACACAUGCAAGUCGAGCGGAAAGGCCACUUCGGUGGUACUCGAGCGGCGAACGGGUGCGUAACACGUGAGUAAUCUGCCCUUGGCUUUGGGAUAGCCACCGGAAACGGUGAUUAAUACCGGAUACGACCACUCCAGGCAUCUGGUGGUGGUGGAAAGUUUUUCGGCCAGGGAUGUGCUCGCGGCCUAUCAGCUUGAUGGUGAGGUAAUGGCUCACCAUGGCUUCGACGGGUAGCCGGCCUGAGAGGGUGACCGGUCACACUGGGACUGAGACACGGCCCAGACUCCUACGGGAGGCAGCAGUGGGGAAUAUUGGACAAUGGGCGGAAGCCUGAUCCAGCAACGCCGCGUGAGGGAUGACGGCCUUCGGGUUGUAAACCUCUUUCGGUAGGGACGAAGCGCAAGUGACGGUACCUACUAAAGAAGCACCGGCCAACUACGUG